Molecule: ribosomal RNA, 378 nt
Filed under: uncultured bacterium
Lineage: Bacteria
Description: bacterial SSU rRNA
Rfam family: Archaeal small subunit ribosomal RNA
Source: RNAcentral
GCGCGAAACCUCCGCAAUGCGAGCAAUCGCGACGGGGGGACCCCAAGUGCUACUCUUAACGGGGUAGCUUUUCUAAAGUGUAAAAAGCUUCAGGAAUAAGGGCUGGGCAAGACCGGUGCCAGCCGCCGCGGUAACACCGGCAGCUCAAGUGGUGGCCGCUUUUAUUGGGCCUAAAGCGUUCGUAGCCGGCCUGAUAAGUCUCUGGUGAAAUCCCGCAGCUUAACUGUGGGAAUUGCUGGAGAUACUAUCAGGCUUGAGGCCGGGAGAGGCUGGAGGAACUCCCAGGGUAGGGGUGAUAUCCUAUAAUCCUGGGAGGACCACCUGUGGCGAAGGCGUCCAGCUGGAACGGACCUGACGGUGAGUAACGAAAGCCAGGGG